Molecule: ribosomal RNA, 468 nt
Filed under: uncultured bacterium
Lineage: Bacteria
Description: partial 16S ribosomal RNA
Rfam family: Bacterial small subunit ribosomal RNA
Source: RNAcentral
GACGAACGCUGGCGGCGUGCUUAACACAUGCAAGUCGAACGGAAAGGCCCUGCUUUUGUGGGGUGCUCGAGUGGCGAACGGGUGAGUAACACGUGAGUAACCUGCCCUUGACUUUGGGAUAACUUCAGGAAACUGGGGCUAAUACCGGAUAGGAGCUCCUGCUGCAUGGUGGGGGUUGGAAAGUUUCGGCGGUUGGGGAUGGACUCGCGGCUUAUCAGCUUGUUGGUGGGGUAGUGGCUUACCAAGGCUUGGACGGGUAGCCGGCCUGAGAGGGUGACCGGCCACAUUGGGACUGAGAUACGGCCCAGACUCCUACAGGAGGCAGCAGUGGGGAAUAUUGCACAAUGGGCGGAAGCCUGAUGCAGCAACGCCGCGUGCGGGAUGACGGCCUUCGGGUUGUAAACCGCUUUCGCCUGUGACGAAGCGUGAGUGACGGUAAUGGGUAAAGAAGCACCGGCUAACUACGUG